UCCGCCGUAGCUCAGUUGAAGGAGAGCGCUACCUGAAAGAUGGCAGAGGUCGUGGGUGCAAAUCCCACCGGCGGAC
RNAcentral lists this transfer RNA (76 nucleotides) under Muribaculaceae bacterium. Its description in RNAcentral is "tRNA-Phe". It matches the Rfam family "tRNA". Rfam says of the family: Transfer RNA (tRNA) molecules are approximately 80 nucleotides in length. Their secondary structure includes four short double-helical elements and three loops (D, anti-codon, and T loops). Further hydrogen bonds mediate the characteristic L-shaped molecular structure. tRNAs have two regions of fundamental functional importance: the anti-codon, which is responsible for specific mRNA codon recognition, and the 3' end, to which the tRNAs corresponding amino acid is attached (by aminoacyl-tRNA synthetases). tRNAs cope with the degeneracy of the genetic code in two manners: having more than one tRNA (with a specific anti-codon) for a particular amino acid; and 'wobble' base-pairing, i.e. permitting non-standard base-pairing at the 3rd anti-codon position. Lineage: Bacteria; Pseudomonadati; Bacteroidota; Bacteroidia; Bacteroidales; Muribaculaceae. The record is from RNAcentral.